GACGAACGCUGGCGGCGUGCUUAACACAUGCAAGUCGAACGGAAAGGCCCUGCUUUUGUGGGGUGCUCGAGUGGCGAACGGGUGAGUAACACGUGAGUAACCUGCCCUUGACUUUGGGAUAGCUUCAGGAAACUGGGGCUAAUACCGGAUAGGAGCUCCUGCUGCAUGGUGGGGGUUGGAAAGUUUCGGCGGUUGGGGAUGGACUCGCGGCUUAUCAGCUUGUUGGCGGGGUAGUGGCUUACCAAGGCUUUGACGGGUAGCCGGCCUGAGAGGGUGACCGGCCACAUUGGGACUGAGAUACGGCCCAGACUCCUACGGGAGGCAGCAGUGGGGAAUAUUGCACAAUGGGCGGAAGCCUGAUGCAGCAACGCCGCGUGCGGGAUGACGGCCUUCGGGUUGUAAACCGCUUUCGCCUGUGACGAAGCGUGAGUGACGGUAAUGGGUAAAGAAGCACCGGCUAACUACGUG
This 468-nucleotide ribosomal RNA is filed under the name uncultured bacterium. RNAcentral describes it as "partial 16S ribosomal RNA". It matches the Rfam family "Bacterial small subunit ribosomal RNA", at positions 28 to 507 of the family's 1533-position model. The record is from RNAcentral.